UUUAUAGUUUUAGUAUUUAAAAAAAAGGAUUAAUAAGACAACUGAAUAAAUUUGGAUCUUUAAGAGACUAAAAUAUAAGAAUUUUGCUACUAUAUUAUUGAUAAUACCAAGCACUUGAUGCUAUCGAGUUUUGGGUCGUUGGAUAAAAGGAUGCGCGACUAAAAUUAUAAUGGUCCCCUAGCUAGGGUUGAGUGGGCGGUUGGUUGAAAAGAAUAAUCUGAUGGUGAACAUGAUCAAAUUAACGGUAGAUCUAACAGUAAAAAACUCGAUAAUACCAAGAGCUUGGUACUAUCGAUAAUAUAGUAGCCGGACUAAAAAUAUUAACUUAUACCAAAUUAGAUUAUAGAUCUACAAAAUUUUAUAAUUAUUUUUAUGUCAUGAAAAUAUCUGUACAAA
This 396-nucleotide long non-coding RNA is filed under the name Ananas comosus (pineapple). RNAcentral's name for it is "long non-coding RNA (ACOM_LNC036805)". Lineage: Eukaryota; Viridiplantae; Streptophyta; Magnoliopsida; Poales; Bromeliaceae. The record is from RNAcentral.